AGUUUGGAAGCACUAUGUAACCUC
This 24-nucleotide non-coding RNA is filed under the name Arabidopsis thaliana (thale cress). The record is from RNAcentral. Lineage: Eukaryota; Viridiplantae; Streptophyta; Magnoliopsida; Brassicales; Brassicaceae.